This 69-nucleotide ribosomal RNA is filed under the name Butyrivibrio sp. TB. RNAcentral's name for it is "16S rRNA. Bacterial SSU". Lineage: Bacteria; Bacillati; Bacillota; Clostridia; Lachnospirales; Lachnospiraceae. The record is from RNAcentral.
CUGGCUCAGGAUGAACGCUGGCGGCGUGCCUAACACAUGCAAGUCGAACGGAGUUUAGCGCUGAUGAAG